GAUGAACGCUAGCGGGAGGCUUAACACAUGCAAGUCGAGGGGCAGCAUAGGGUAGCAAUACUCUGAUGGCGACCGGCAAACGGGUGAGUAACGCGUAUGCAACCUACCCUGUACAGGGGGAUAACCCGGAGAAAUUCGGACUAAUAUCCCGUAAUAAUAUCCGGAGGCAUCUUUGGAUAUUUAAAGUUUCGACGGUACGGGAUGGGCAUGCGUAACAUUAGCUGGUUGGUAAGGUAACGGCUUACCAAGGCUAUGAUGUUAGGGGUCCUGAGAGGGUGGUCCCCCACACUGGUACUGAGACACGGACCAGACUCCUACGGGAGGCAGCAGUGAGGAAUAUUGGUCAAUGGGCGCAAGCCUGAACCAGCCAUCCCGCGUGCAGGAAGACGGCCCUAUGGGUUGUAAAACUGCUUUUCCAGGGAGAGAAACUUACGCACGUGUUGCGUGACUGACGGUACCCUGGGAAUAAGCAUCGGCUAACUCCGUG
This 487-nucleotide ribosomal RNA is filed under the name uncultured bacterium. RNAcentral's name for it is "bacterial SSU rRNA". It matches the Rfam family "Bacterial small subunit ribosomal RNA", at positions 28 to 507 of the family's 1533-position model. The record is from RNAcentral.